RNAcentral lists this small RNA (173 nucleotides) under Arabidopsis thaliana (thale cress). RNAcentral describes it as "ATSL227670". Lineage: Eukaryota; Viridiplantae; Streptophyta; Magnoliopsida; Brassicales; Brassicaceae. The record is from RNAcentral.
UUUUUAAUUAUCAAAACAAACAUUAAAAUCCAGUGGCAGCUAUUGUAAAUAAAUCUCAACUACAAAAUUUAUUUCACAAAAUGGCUGCAAAAAUGUAUAUGUAGAUUUAAAGCUUUCUUGUUCUCAUGGUUGACAAUUCUUGAAUAAACCAUUUCUGAGACCAUAAGCUAAUU